RNAcentral lists this ribosomal RNA (206 nucleotides) under uncultured bacterium. Its description in RNAcentral is "partial 16S ribosomal RNA". It matches the Rfam family "Bacterial small subunit ribosomal RNA", at positions 568 to 774 of the family's 1533-position model. The record is from RNAcentral.
CGCGUAGGCGGCUUUAUAAGUCAGAUGUGAAAUCCCACGGCUCAACUGUGGAAGUGCAUUUGAAACUGUGAGGCUUGAGUAUCGGAGGGAGUGUGGAAUUCCCGGUGUAGAGGUGAAAUUCGUAGAGAUCGGGAGGAACACCGGUGGCGAAGGCGACACUCUGGACGAAUACUGACGCUGAGGCGCGAAAGCGUGGGGAGCAAACA